UACACAAAAUAGAAAACUCAUCAGCCAUUUGGGGAUUUAUUCAUCACACGAUCUAGGGCUGCUGGGUGGUGAACGGCGGCUGCUGGGCGAACAGCUGCUCGGCGGCGGCUGGGUGAACGGCGACGGUGAUGGUGGUGAACGCCUCCAGCAAGCGUGGGUUCUCGGCUCCAGCACUCUCGGCGGCGGUGCGGGUUCUCGGCUCCAUCACUCUCGGCGGCGGCGUGCUUCUCAGCGUGGGUCUCUGCUGGUUGCUGGUUGCUGGUUCACGAUUCCAGCAGAAUUCCUCUACACAUCUAGCUCUCACUGCCUUUGAAAUCCCUCAUUUCAAUACAAAGGGACCAAAGCCCAAAUGAAUCCUCAUCAUAUCAUCUCACUGUUUCUAUGUGCAUCGUCUUCCCCCUUCUUUCUCUACGGAGCUGUCUAGGUUUCAUUUCAUUUACAACCAAGUGUGCUGUUGCAGCCCCAAAUUAGUAGAAAUUAAAUGAUGGCUUCUACUAAAGAUCAAGUUCUACAAGCUAGCAAAUAUUGUCAGAAAUUGCACUAAAUGAUCAGGUACU
Long non-coding RNA from Humulus lupulus (European hop), 557 nucleotides. RefSeq lists it as uncharacterized. The record is from RefSeq and is a predicted model, not a curated record. The transcript is spliced from 3 exons. Lineage: Eukaryota; Viridiplantae; Streptophyta; Magnoliopsida; Rosales; Cannabaceae.